This 615-nucleotide ribosomal RNA is filed under the name Trametes hirsuta. RNAcentral's name for it is "eukaryotic LSU rRNA". The stretch from base 218 to 371 matches the Rfam family "5.8S ribosomal RNA". The record is from RNAcentral. Lineage: Eukaryota; Fungi; Basidiomycota; Agaricomycetes; Polyporales; Polyporaceae.
AAAGGAAAAGGCGACUGCGGAGGACAUUACGAACUUUGAUGUGCGUUGCUCAGGGUCUUCCAAGGAGUGCGUGUUACCUGUUUUUUUUCCUCCACCUGUGCACUUACUGUAGGUUGGCGUGGGUUUCUAGCCUCCGGGCUGGGAGCAUUCUGCCGGCCUAUGUACACUACAAACUCUAAAGUAUCAGAAUGUAAACGCGUCUAACGCAUCUUAAUACAACUUUCAGCAACGGAUCUCUUGGCUCUCGCAUCGAUGAAGAACGCAGCGAAAUGCGAUAAGUAAUGUGAAUUGCAGAAUUCAGUGAAUCAUCGAAUCUUUGAACGCACCUUGCGCUCCUUGGUAUUCCGAGGAGCAUGCCUGUUUGAGUGUCAUGAAAUUCUCAACCCAUAAGUCCUUGUGAUCUAUGGGCUUGGAUUUGGAGGCUUGCUGGCCCUAGCGGUCGGCUCCUCUUGAAUGCAUUAGCUUGAUUCCGUGCGGAUCGGCUCUCAGUGUGAUAAUUGUCUACGCUGUGACCGUGAAGCGUUUUGGCAAGCUUCUAACCGUCCAUUAGGACAAUCUUUCAACAUCUGACCUCAAAUCAGGUAGGACUACCCGCUGAACUUAAGCAUAUCAAAA